GUAUCUCGUUUCGGCGGUACACAAGCUAAACUUGGAACGAUACGGAGAAGGUUGACAUGGUCCCUACGCAAGGAAGACACGCGAAACCGUGAAGCGUUUUUCAUAUUU
RNAcentral lists this small nuclear RNA (108 nucleotides) under Clonorchis sinensis. Lineage: Eukaryota; Metazoa; Platyhelminthes; Trematoda; Opisthorchiida; Opisthorchiidae. The record is from RNAcentral.